GGUUAAGCGACUAAGCGUACACGGUGGAUGCCCUGGCAGUCAGAGGCGAUGAAGGACGUGCUAAUCUGCGAUAAGCGUCGGUGAGGUGAUAUGAACCGUUAUAACCGGCGAUUUCCGAAUGGGGAAACCCAGUGUGAUUCGUCACACUAUCAUUAACUGAAUCCAUAGGUUAAUGAGGCGAACCGGGGGAACUGAAACAUCUAAGUACCCCGAGGAAAAGAAAUCAACCGAGAUUCCCCCAGUAGCGGCGAGCGAACGGGGAGGAGCCCAGAGCCUGAAUCAGUGUGUGUGUUAGUGGAAGCGUCUGGAAAGGCGCGCGAUACAGGGUGACAGCCCCGUACACAAAAAUGCACAUACUGUGAGCUCGAUGAGUAGGGCGGGACACGUGGUAUCCUGUCUGAAUAUGGGGGGACCAUCCUCCAAGGCUAAAUACUCCUGACUGACCGAUAGUGAACCAGUACCGUGAGGGAAAGGCGAAAAGAACCCCGGCGAGGGGAGUGAAAAAGAACCUGAAACCGUGUACGUACAAGCAGUGGGAGCCUCUUAAUGGGGUGACUGCGUACCUUUUGUAUAAUGGGUCAGCGACUUAUAUUCUGUAGCAAGGUUAACCGAAUAGGGGAGCCGAAGGGAAACCGAGUCUUAACUGGGCGUUAAGUUGCAGGGUAUAGACCCGAAACCCGGUGAUCUAGCCAUGGGCAGGUUGAAGGUUGGGUAACACUAACUGGAGGACCGAACCGACUAAUGUUGAAAAAUUAGCGGAUGACUUGUGGCUGGGGGUGAAAGGCCAAUCAAACCGGGAGAUAGCUGGUUCUCCCCGAAAGCUAUUUAGGUAGCGCCUCGUGAAUUCAUCUCCGGGGGUAGAGCACUGUUUCGGCAAGGGGGUCAUCCCGACUUACCAACCCGAUGCAAACUGCGAAUACCGGAGAAUGUUAUCACGGGAGACACACGGCGGGUGCUAACGUCCGUCGUGAAGAGGGAAACAACCCAGACCGCCAGCUAAGGUCCCAAAGUCAUGGUUAAGUGGGAAACGAUGUGGGAAGGCCCAGACAGCCAGGAUGUUGGCUUAGAAGCAGCCAUCAUUUAAAGAAAGCGUAAUAGCUCACUGGUCGAGUCGGCCUGCGCGGAAGAUGUAACGGGGCUAAACCAUGCACCGAAGCUGCGGCAGCGACACUGUGUGUUGUUGGGUAGGGGAGCGUUCUGUAAGCCUGUGAAGGUGGCCUGUGAGGGUUGCUGGAGGUAUCAGAAGUGCGAAUGCUGACAUAAGUAACGAUAAAGCGGGUGAAAAGCCCGCUCGCCGGAAGACCAAGGGUUCCUGUCCAACGUUAAUCGGGGCAGGGUGAGUCGACCCCUAAGGCGAGGCCGAAAGGCGUAGUCGAUGGGAAACAGGUUAAUAUUCCUGUACUUGGUGUUACUGCGAAGGGGGGACGGAGAAGGCUAUGUUGGCCGGGCGACGGUUGUCCCGGUUUAAGCGUGUAGGCUGGUUUUCCAGGCAAAUCCGGAAAACCAAGGCUGAGGCGUGAUGACGAGGCACUACGGUGCUGAAGCGACAAAUGCCCUGCUUCCAGGAAAAGCCUCUAAGCAUCAGGUAACAUCAAAUCGUACCCCAAACCGACACAGGUGGUCAGGUAGAGAAUACCAAGGCGCUUGAGAGAACUCGGGUGAAGGAACUAGGCAAAAUGGUGCCGUAACUUCGGGAGAAGGCACGCUGAUAUGUAGGUGAAGCGACUUGCUCGUGGAGCUGAAAUCAGUCGAAGAUACCAGCUGGCUGCAACUGUUUAUUAAAAACACAGCACUGUGCAAACACGAAAGUGGACGUAUACGGUGUGACGCCUGCCCGGUGCCGGAAGGUUAAUUGAUGGGGUUAGCGGUAACGCGAAGCUCUUGAUCGAAGCCCCGGUAAACGGCGGCCGUAACUAUAACGGUCCUAAGGUAGCGAAAUUCCUUGUCGGGUAAGUUCCGACCUGCACGAAUGGCGUAAUGAUGGCCAGGCUGUCUCCACCCGAGACUCAGUGAAAUUGAACUCGCUGUGAAGAUGCAGUGUACCCGCGGCAAGACGGAAAGACCCCGUGAACCUUUACUAUAGCUUGACACUGAACAUUGAGCCUUGAUGUGUAGGAUAGGUGGGAGGCUUUGAAGUGUGGACGCCAGUCUGCAUGGAGCCGACCUUGAAAUACCACCCUUUAAUGUUUGAUGUUCUAACGUUGGCCCGUAAUCCGGGUUGCGGACAGUGUCUGGUGGGUAGUUUGACUGGGGCGGUCUCCUCCUAAAGAGUAACGGAGGAGCACGAAGGUUGGCUAAUCCUGGUCGGACAUCAGGAGGUUAGUGCAAUGGCAUAAGCCAGCUUGACUGCGAGCGUGACGGCGCGAGCAGGUGCGAAAGCAGGUCAUAGUGAUCCGGUGGUUCUGAAUGGAAGGGCCAUCGCUCAACGGAUAAAAGGUACUCCGGGGAUAACAGGCUGAUACCGCCCAAGAGUUCAUAUCGACGGCGGUGUUUGGCACCUCGAUGUCGGCUCAUCACAUCCUGGGGCUGAAGUAGGUCCCAAGGGUAUGGCUGUUCGCCAUUUAAAGUGGUACGCGAGCUGGGUUUAGAACGUCGUGAGACAGUUCGGUCCCUAUCUGCCGUGGGCGCUGGAGAACUGAGGGGGGCUGCUCCUAGUACGAGAGGACCGGAGUGGACGCAUCACUGGUGUUCGGGUUGUCAUGCCAAUGGCACUGCCCGGUAGCUAAAUGCGGAAGAGAUAAGUGCUGAAAGCAUCUAAGCACGAAACUUGCCCCGAGAUGAGUUCUCCCUGAGACUUAGAGUCUCCUGAAGGAACGUUGAAGACGACGACGUUGAUAGGCCGGGUGUGUAAGCGCAGCGAUGCGUUGAGCUAACCGGUACUAAUGAACCGUGAGGCUUAACCUU
Molecule: ribosomal RNA, 2904 nt
Filed under: Escherichia coli
Lineage: Bacteria; Pseudomonadati; Pseudomonadota; Gammaproteobacteria; Enterobacterales; Enterobacteriaceae
Description: 23S ribosomal RNA
Rfam family: Bacterial large subunit ribosomal RNA
Source: RNAcentral